This 375-nucleotide long non-coding RNA is filed under the name Homo sapiens (human). RNAcentral describes it as "non-protein coding lnc-GABPA-9:1". The record is from RNAcentral. Lineage: Eukaryota; Metazoa; Chordata; Mammalia; Primates; Hominidae.
GCCCAGAGCAGCUCGGAAGAUAAAAUAACAGUCCACUUUAUAAACCAACAGUGAAACAUUAACAAACAAAGGAAAAGUUGAUGACUCUUUGCUAGAUGUUGUGGUUGAAAAUAAUGUAGAUAUUGAUGGGUUUGUUGCAUGGCAGGGAACCUUGGCUUGCUCUGUCACCUCAUUUUUGAAAAGCACAUAUUUGAGAAGUUAGACACAAUCACUGACAAGGAGAUUGACAUGCUUGAUCUGGCAUAUGGACUGACAGACAGGUCAGAGUUGUAUUGCCAAAUCUGUUUGACAAAAUCUAUGGGCCAUAUGACUGUCUGAGUACCUGAUGGAGUGGCCAGUGCCAGACAAUCCACUGAUAUGGGCAAGACCACCUAA